Abrus precatorius (Indian licorice) is the source of this 197-nucleotide small nuclear RNA. RefSeq annotates it as U2 spliceosomal RNA. Lineage: Eukaryota; Viridiplantae; Streptophyta; Magnoliopsida; Fabales; Fabaceae. The transcript has a single exon. The record is from RefSeq and is a predicted model, not a curated record.
AUACCUUUCUCGGCCUUUUGGCUAAGAUCAAGUGUAGUAUCUGUUCUUAUCAGUUUAAUAUCUGAUACGUGAACCAUUGGUUUACAUGAUAUUAAAUUUAUUUUUUAGGGAGAGGACCCUUCAUUGUAGCUUGCUACUGGUGUGUCCUCGUGCAUCGCCCCUGCCUUGCACUACAGCAUGGGGCAGGUGCAUCCCAC